Biomphalaria pfeifferi is the source of this 376-nucleotide non-coding RNA. The record is from the annotation of a GenBank genome assembly. Lineage: Eukaryota; Metazoa; Mollusca; Gastropoda; Planorbidae.
UUUAAUAAAGUUAUUUAAUAGUCAUUGAGAAUUUGAAAUGAACUAUUCACACAUCAAUGUUGUUAAACAAACAGACAGGGAAAAUCCGCAAUAAAAUGACAAGGAAAAACUGAUUAAGAUAAAAGUGUUUAAUCAGACAUAAUAAAAAGUAGUGUAAACUGUAUUUUAUGUGUCAUUAUGAUUCAUGAAAGAAAGCAAAGAAAAGAAGGCACUAAUACUUUUUACCAUCAACCUUCAUAGAGAUAGCAGUGAAGGCAAGACUACAUGGAGAUCUCAUCAGGCCUUACAGCAACAGUUACAUAUCUCUGCUGCAUCUCAUUGUGAUGUGAGGACAAAUGAUUAGAAAUUUAAAAAAUACCCCCCCCCCCCACCCCCA